Molecule: long non-coding RNA, 1378 nt
Filed under: Homo sapiens (human)
Lineage: Eukaryota; Metazoa; Chordata; Mammalia; Primates; Hominidae
Description: non-protein coding LINC00528:10
Source: RNAcentral
AGUGAGAACCAGGCUUUCCACCCUUACCCCUUACGCGACUGUUUCAGACAGUGUCGUCCAACUUUAAGUUGGCCACUUACUCCAGCGCCGCUGGGAUAAUUCCUAAUGAUUCUCUGGGAAACAUUCAGAAUCCCCAGGCUGUUUCUGGAACAGUCUGGGGUGGUCAUUCUAGGUCCUCACGGAACCAGGGGUUUGGAAAGUGGGUGAAGCCAUGUGGGUUGCAGAGAAUCUGGCCCAGCCCCUCACCAGUCCCUGUGCUUGUUGUUUAUUCUUUAAUUAUUUGGAUAUCAACUCUGAUUUAAAACAUCAGUUUAACAUAUAGAUAAUGCUGGGACUACAGGCGCACACCACACCCAACUAAUUUCUUUUUCAGUUUUUAGUGGAGGUGGUGGGGGGGGGGUCUCCACCUCUGGAGGUCUCAGGCUGGUCUCGAACUCCUGGGCUCCAGCGAUGCUUCCCACCUCGGCCUCCCAAGGUGCUGGAAUGACAGGCCAGUCCAUGCAUCCCCGGAUGCAGCUCUCACCGGCAGUGCUGCUGCAGAGCCCUUUGUGGGCGUCUUCACUUCUCUUGAGUGUGAUACCUAGGAGUGGAAAUGCGAAUCAUAGGGCUGGACGAGCUUCAUGGUAUUAAAAACUGCCUGCUUUCCAAGGUGAUGCACACCGUUCGGCACUUCCACCAGCCCUGUUGGAGCGUCCAGUUGCUCUGCGCCCUCGCGUGGGCUCACUCCCUGAGCCCACUGUGGCUCCUCCAGACGCCCUCACUUCUACCCGGGCUCCCUAGACUCUUGCCUCUUUUAUAAAAGGUCAGAGGAUGUCACUCACGCUUUAACAUCCUCUGAAUAAAAGCCAAGUUCCUUUCAGUGGCCCGCAGAGUCCCACGCGACCUGCCCUGCUCUAAGCAAAUCCUACCCUGUCCCUGUUCCUCCUCGGCAGCCCCAUGGCCUCUGGCUUUCACCAGGCCUCACUUCAUUUUCCUCCACAGCCAGCAUCGCAGCAUGACAUACCACGGAGUCGUUUGUGUGUGUGUUGCCUACCUCCCCUCUCGGAAUGUAGCCUCCACGAGGACAGGGGCUUGUUUCCUGCAUGCUCUUCACUCGGGCUGGGCACUCUGGGGGGCUAACAAAUGGAAGAUCCUGUGAGCAGGGAAACCGUCAGAUGGCAUUAGGGGCCGGUGCCCUGCAGAAGACGAAAGGGAAACUUCAUGGACUGAGGCCAGGUCAUCUGCAGGGUGGUGUUCAAAUUCAUGGUACAAUGUCAGCAGGCGCCCAGAUGGGAAAAGAGAGGGACGUGCACCUGGGCACAAGAAGCUGCAGGGGCCCCUCCCAGGGCAGGCGAGAGCUUGGACAGUGGGGCACAGUGGGCAAGAGGCCAGUGGGGUG